RNAcentral lists this ribosomal RNA (253 nucleotides) under uncultured bacterium. Its description in RNAcentral is "partial 16S ribosomal RNA". It matches the Rfam family "Bacterial small subunit ribosomal RNA", at positions 524 to 776 of the family's 1533-position model. The record is from RNAcentral.
UACGAAGGGGGCUAGCGUUGUUCGGAAUCACUGGGCGUAAAGGGCGCGUAGGCGGCCGAUCAAGUCGGGGGUGAAAGCCUGUGGCUCAACCACAGAAUUGCCUUCGAUACUGUUUGGCUUGAGACCGGAAGAGGUAAGUGGAACUGCGAGUGUAGAGGUGAAAUUCGUAGAUAUUCGGAAGAACACCAGUGGCGAAGGCGACUCGCUGGACAGGUAUUGACGCUGAGGUGCGAAAGCGUGGGGAGCAAACAGG